RNAcentral lists this ribosomal RNA (303 nucleotides) under uncultured bacterium. RNAcentral describes it as "partial 16S ribosomal RNA". It matches the Rfam family "Bacterial small subunit ribosomal RNA", at positions 507 to 807 of the family's 1533-position model. The record is from RNAcentral.
AGCAGUCGCCGCGGGAAUACGUAGGUGGCAAGCGUUGUCCGGAAUUAUUGGGCGUGAAGCGCGCGCAGGUGGUUUAAUAAGUCUGAUGUGAAAGCCCACGGCUCAGCCGUGGAGGGUCAUUGGAAACUGUUAAACUUGAGUGCAGGAGAGAAAAGUGGAAUUCCUAGUGUAGCGGUGAAACGCGUAGAGAUUAGGAGGAACAGCAAUGGCGAAGGCGGCUUUUUGGCCUGUAACUGACACUGAGGCGCGAAAGCGUGGGGAGCAAACAGGAUUAGAUACCCCCGUAGUCCCUGUCUCUUAUAC